RNAcentral lists this long non-coding RNA (671 nucleotides) under Brachypodium distachyon (stiff brome). RNAcentral describes it as "long non-coding RNA (BDIS_LNC004559)". Lineage: Eukaryota; Viridiplantae; Streptophyta; Magnoliopsida; Poales; Poaceae. The record is from RNAcentral.
CCUGGUCAAGAGGCCUUAUGGGAGAGGCAGUUCAAUGUCCGAUUGGUGGCCAUAGUCUCCAACUAUGGCAGCCUCGUCGCCCCAAGUGGUUCCGUCCCCGGCGACGGCGAGGUGGAUCCCGAGUGGAUGUUGAGGACCCGAUUGCAUUUCUUCUUUCUUGUUUUGGGUCCUUUCUACAAUUUCUAGGGACUUGUGUGUAAUUCUCAGUCUUUAGAGGGUCAUGUUGCAAUAUGUGCUAAGUUCACUACUAAUGAAUAAAAUCCUCUUGAUCCUUCCGGAUCCAGCUUUUACAAAAAAAAAAAAGAUAUGCCUUCUCCUUUCCAUUCCACCUGUUCCACGAGUGCAGCCACUUCCUCCUCUCCACUGGUACAAAAAAGACACGACCUCAGUAGUGCCGAAAGACUUCAACCUUAAGACGAGGCACAACUGGAUGGUACGAUCGAGUGGAAGGCCUUAUGCAGAAGAUGAAAGAAGAAACUUAUAGGGAAUUCCAAGUGAGGAACCGGCCAUAUGGAUGUUAGAUGCUCUAGUUGUGACAUGUUUAAAUUGCGCUUCCCGAUUAUAGGCGCAUUACAUAAUAUUUAUCUAGACGAGGAAGAACAAGAAUAGUUGCAAUCUUUGUAGUUUUAUUUCCUUUUUGUAAUUUUCAUUUCCUUUUAAGCCAGAUUGUA